ACGGGUGAGUAACACGUGGGUAACCUGCCUCAUAGAGGGGAAUAGCCUUUCGAAAGGAAGAUUAAUACCGCAUAAGAUUGUAGUUUCGCAUGAAACAGCAAUUAAAGGAGUAAUCCGCUAUGAGAUGGACCCGCGUCGCAUUAGCUAGUUGGUGAGGUAACGGCUCACCAAGGCGACGAUGCGUAGCCGACCUGAGAGGGUGAUCGGCCACAUUGGGACUGAGACACGGCCCAGACUCCUACGGGAGGCAGCAGUGGGGAAUAUUGCACAAUGGGGGAAACCCUGAUGCAGCAACGCCGCGUGAGUGAUGACGGUCUUCGGAUUGUAAAACUCUGUCUUCAGGGACGAUAAUGACGGUACCUGAGGAGGAAGCCACGGCUAACUACGUGCCAGCAGCCGCGGUAAUACGUAGGUGGCAAGCGUUGUCCGGAUUUACUGGGCGUAAAGGGAGCGUAGGUGGAUAUUUAAGUGGGAUGUGAAAUACUCGGGCUUAACCUGGGUGCUGCAUUCCAAACUGAAUAUCUAGAGUGCAGGAGAGGAAAGUAGAAUUCCUAGUGUAGCGGUGAAAUGCGUAGA
RNAcentral lists this ribosomal RNA (576 nucleotides) under uncultured bacterium. RNAcentral describes it as "bacterial SSU rRNA". It matches the Rfam family "Bacterial small subunit ribosomal RNA", at positions 102 to 694 of the family's 1533-position model. The record is from RNAcentral.